Molecule: ribosomal RNA, 472 nt
Filed under: uncultured bacterium
Lineage: Bacteria
Description: bacterial SSU rRNA
Rfam family: Bacterial small subunit ribosomal RNA
Source: RNAcentral
GAUGAACGCUAGCGACAGGCUUAACACAUGCAAGUCGAGGGCAGCGGGAUGAAGCUUGCUUUAUCUGCCGGCGACCGGCGCACGGGUGAGUAACACGUAUGCAACCUACCCUAUGCAGGGGAAUAACCACGGGAAACCGUGCCUAAUACCGCAUAACGUAUCAUGAUGGCAUCAUCGAGAUACCAAAGGAGCAAUCCGCUGAAAGAUGGGCUCGCGUCCGAUUAGCUAGUUGGUGGGGUAACGGCCCACCAAGGCGACGAUCGGUAGCCGAACUGAGAGGUUGAUCGGCCGCAUUGGGACUGAGACACGGCCCAGACUCCUACGGGAGGCAGCAGUGGGGGAUAUUGCACAAUGGGGGAAACCCUGAUGCAGCAACGCCGCGUGAGGGAAGAAGGUCUUCGGAUUGUAAACCUAAGUUGUCAGGGACGAACAAAUGACGGUACCUGAAAAGAAAGCUCCGGCUAACUACGUG